AUUGAACGCUGGCGGCAGGCUUAACACAUGCAAGUCGAGCGAGCGGCGGACGGGUGUGUAAUGUCUGUGAAACUGCCUGCUGGAGGGGGAUAACUUCUGGAAACGGUAGCUAAUACCGCCUACCAGCUGAUGUGCCCCGAUGGGAUUCGCUAGUUGGUGGGGUGAUGGCUCCCCUAGGCGACGAUCCCUAGCUGGUCUGAGAGGAUGAACAGCCACACUGGAACUGAGACACGGUCCAGACUCCUACGGGAGGCAGCAGAGGAGAAUAGUGCACAAUGGGAGCAAGCCUGAUGCAGCCAUGCCGCGUGUGUGAAGAAGGCCUGCGGGUUGUAAAGCACUUUCAGCGAGGAGGCGUUACUCGCAGAAGAAGCACCGGCUAACUCCGUGCCAGCAGCCGCGGUAAUUC
RNAcentral lists this ribosomal RNA (406 nucleotides) under uncultured bacterium. RNAcentral's name for it is "partial 16S ribosomal RNA". It matches the Rfam family "Bacterial small subunit ribosomal RNA", at positions 30 to 526 of the family's 1533-position model. The record is from RNAcentral.